GCCGUGGUGGUUCAGUGGUAGAAUUCUCACCUUCCAUGCAGGAGACCUGGAUUCGAUUCCCGGCCAACGCC
Molecule: transfer RNA, 71 nt
Filed under: Loxodonta africana (African savanna elephant)
Lineage: Eukaryota; Metazoa; Chordata; Mammalia; Proboscidea; Elephantidae
Rfam family: tRNA
About the family: Transfer RNA (tRNA) molecules are approximately 80 nucleotides in length. Their secondary structure includes four short double-helical elements and three loops (D, anti-codon, and T loops).
Source: Rfam by way of RNAcentral